This is a long non-coding RNA of Megachile rotundata (alfalfa leafcutting bee), 2365 nucleotides long. Lineage: Eukaryota; Metazoa; Arthropoda; Insecta; Hymenoptera; Megachilidae. The record is from RefSeq and is a predicted model, not a curated record.
CUGUUUAUCACCUUCCACGCAUCCGCCUCUCUAUUUCGAAAGAAUUUUAUCAAAAUUGUGUCUAUGGUCAGGUGAACUCUGCUGUACGGUGCGAGCGAAAGGCUAACACGUUUUAUCUGUUCUUUUGGGGAAGAUGAUUUCCUUCUUUGUCCAACAUUUCAUGUCUUUUGAAGAUCUCUGUCCAAUAUUCGGGGUAGUUUCGUCACAAAACUUCAUAUCUUUUGAGACGUUCAAGAUUCACAUUUUUGUUCGCUACCAAAGUUAUGAGAUGAAAGGUGGACUUCGUAACGAAUCAAAAUUAUCUGGUACUUUAAAUUUGAUCAGCAAGAACUUCGAGUUGUAUUAAUUCUCUACUCGGAACUUCAAAAGCACGAUUAAUAAAAAAAUUUUCGCUUCGAAUGUUUUGUGGACAAAGAAUAGCAUAAAUCAUCUUCUGGAAGCAGCUUAAAUUUUCUGUUCACCAUUCUGUUUCUGAUAUCAUGAGUUCGAACACGAAAUUUUAUUUCGUUUUUGUUCCGUACUCGAAUUAUAACUCGCACUGUAUUCGAGCUACCUUGAAAUAUGUGUCUGUGUGUCGCAGGCUCUCCCGCGUAGCUCUUUCGAAUCGUCUCUUAACAAAUUAGGACACCUUUGUCGCUUAUGCAACGAAGCUCGAUCAUUGCUUACUGACGGAUCGCUUGUUGAUCAGAGAAUUCGUGCAAAAUUGUUUGGUUCGGUAUGUGGAGCUAGCGAGACACGAACGAAUCUUCUUCUUCCCUUGUGACUAAUUAUGUACAUACAUGACUUCCACCGAGUCAUACUGUUGAAUUGUUCGCAAGCAGCUUUUAGGAGAAUCAAACGAUUUCGUAAGUGUGGACUAAAGACACAAGUAGAUACACGACACUCAUACCACACAUUAUUUUUUAAUUAAGAGUGCUCGGGUGUUUCGGUAUCGUCGCUUGAUUUACAUUGGCCAUCAAUAUAUAACUUUCUUAACCCAUUCGAGACGACGAUUUUUUUCGAACACGGUCCCCAGGACCGAAGCUCUUUUUCUCUUUAUAUUAUUCAUUUUUAAUAAAAAAAAACUAGAUUACUUAGAAUGUUUUCAUUGCGUGGAUUGAACCAUGUGUGUAAUAUAAGGUGAUAUAAGGUUUUACCUCAAUAACAAUUUUAUUCAGAAUAAUUGAUAAUUACUUAUUACUACUGUUGCACACCUGGUCUUAUAGCCUUGGAAAUCGAUUGCACACACGGUGUGCAAUCGGUCUCGAAUGGGUUAACCUGAUUGAUUGUAGCAUUUAUUUUAAUCCUCAAGGAGUAAGUUCAGAAUUAAUGAAACGUUUAGACAAGUUUCUACUGCAAUUUCUUUUGUACUUUUUAUUGAAAUUAUCAUUUGGAAUCAUAGUUAAUAUUGCAGGAGUUAAAAUCUCUAAUUUUAUAGGUCACUAGUUUGCUAUGUGAAUAAUUGUCUAGAUCAGUGUAUCAAUUAAAAUCUUAGAUCCUGAGCAUUUUCUACAUCCUCAAGUUAAUAGAGUAAAAGUACAAAUCAAUUCCUAGGUCUCUAAGUUCAAGACUUGCUAUGUAAAUAAUUCCUUAGAUCCUCAUAUUUUAAAGAACUUAGAUUCUGAUCAUUUUUUGUAUCUUCAGGUUAAUAUUGCAGGAAUUCAAAUCUCUAAUCUUAUAGGUUACUAGUUUGCUAUAUAAAUAACUGUCUAGAUCAGUGUAUCAAUUAAAAUCUUAGAUCCUGAACAUUUUCUACAUCCUCAAGUUAAUAGAGUAAAAGUACAAAUCAAUUCCUAGGUCUCUAAGUUCAAGACUUGCUAUAUAAAUAAUUCCUUAGAUCCUCAUAUUUUAAAGAACUUAGAUCCUGAUCAUUUUUUAUAUCUUCAGGUUAAUAUUGCAGGAGUUAAAAUCUCAAGACUUAUUGGUUAUUGAUUUGCUAUAUAAAUAAUUGUCUAGAUCAGUGUAUCAAUUAAAAUCUUAGAUCCUGAACACUUUCUACAUCCUCAAAUUAAUAUUGUAAAAGUGAAAAUCAUUUCUCUAGAUCCUUAAGGGGUUAACCCUUUAAAUGCCCAAUUUAUUAUAUAACUUUACUCAUUUUCAAAAGCUUGUAACAAUAUUAAUAAUGAAUUAUGAAAACGAUUGCCAAUGUGAAUCGAGGUAACUCGUGAAACUUCCAUAUCGACCGGUAAAUUAGAAUCUUGUUUCUUUAUUUCCAUUUAAUUUGGCGUAUUUUUAUUUGUAGAAGAGCGUAAAUAUCGAAGGUUUCUCGAUCGAGCGAGCACAGGGCCUGCCACGAUAAUAAAAAACACAUAUUUUGAGUUAGUCGCGUCUUCAUGCUCUUUUUGUUAAUAUUUAAACACCUUUUCUGCUUUCUGCGACAAGUAAU